RNAcentral lists this ribosomal RNA (2799 nucleotides) under Triticum aestivum (bread wheat). RNAcentral's name for it is "partial small subunit ribosomal RNA". Lineage: Eukaryota; Viridiplantae; Streptophyta; Magnoliopsida; Poales; Poaceae. The record is from RNAcentral.
AUGGUGGACGUGGCGACGGGGGCCAUGGCCUCCUUGCUCCCCAAGCUGGAGAAGCUCCUCGAGCACAAGCUGCACAAGGCCGUCAAGGAAGACGCGGAGCAGCUUCUGAGGGAGCUGACGAGCCUGCACGCCGCCCUAGGCAACGGCUCCGACCCGCGUUGGGCCGACGACUGCAGGGAGCUGUCCUACCACGCCGACGACAUCGUCGACGCCUUCCUGGCGGCCAGCGAGCCCGCCGCCUGCCGGAACGGCUGCCUGGGGUUCCUGGCCGACUUGCUGGACCCUCGCCAUCGAAUCGCCAACGCCAUCAAAGACAUCAGGAGGCAGACCCUGAAUCUGACCGACAGGUACAGUAGCACCGAUAAAGAUAAGCUCGCUCCGGCCGCCGCAACCACCGGAGCAUCGCCCCAUCUGUGGGAAGAGGCGGAGGAGCCGCUCGUCGGCGUUGAGCGGGGGAGGGAUACUCUAAUCAAGAGCCUUGCAGGCGGACAACAGAUGAAGAUAGUCUCCAUUGUGGGUUCUGGGGGAUUGGGGAAGACGGCUCUUGCUAAUCUCGUGUUCCGUCAGCUCAGGCCGCAAUUCGAUUCGUGCGCUUUUGUUUCAGUCUCCUCUAUGCCUGAUAUGGAGGGGAUUUUUGAGCAGAUGCUUCGUCAGCUUAACGUGGAAAAAAAUCACAAUCAAGAAGCAAAGGAUGCAAUUAGGGAUUUCCUUCAGAACAGAAGGUACCUGAUUAUAGUCGAUGAUUUAUGGAGGAAAGAAGAUUGGCAUAUCCUAUCCCGCAGCUUGCCCGCUAACGCUUGCGGUAGCAGAGUAAUUGUUACAACUCGUUCUGAUGACAUAGCAAAGACAUGUUGUUCUGGCCAAGAUGAGUUGAUAUGUGAAAUUAGGCAUCUUGAUGACCUGAACUCCAAAAAAUUGUUUCUACAGAGAUGCUUUGGCUCUGACGCCAGUUGCCCUGAUGCACUUGCAAGAGAAGUUGGUGAGAUCUUGCAAAUAUGCGGUGGUAUUCCUUCUGCAAUUAUAAGCAUUGCUUCGUUGCUCAAUAGCAAAAUAGCCGCAAGGAAACCAUGGCAGGAUGUGGUGUACGCUUUCCAUUCUGCUUGGAACGAGAUGGCGAGCUCUUUAGACUCUGCGCAGGAGCGUAUUCCUGGUUUGGAGGACUUGAUAAAGGUUCUAUCACUCAGCUAUGAAAACCUUCCCAGCACUCUGAAGACCUGCUUGCUGUGCAUAGCUACAAGUAAAACCAUCAAGUACCAAAAGUUUAGAAGAGGUGAUACGGUUAGGAAAUGGAUCACUGAAGGAUUUAUCUCUGAAGUUGGGUGGCGCAGCCGUGAGGAAGUGGCGAACCAAUGCUUUGAUGACCUUGUCGGCAGCAAAGUGAUUCAGCCUGUGGAACGCCCAACCUUUUAUGGGAAGAGGAUGUAUGAGGUCAACUGCAUGAUGCUCUACGUUCUUAGGCUGAUAUCACGAGAAGAGAACUUGGUCACCUUUCUGUCUGACUUGGACAUUUCAGAGACACCUGCAGCGAGGCCUGUCUUUCUGUCUAUCCGACGCUGUGGCUCGGACGGUUCAAAUGGCACAGAAAGGCUGGAUCUUUUGCAUGUUCGUUCCGUAACCAUGACUCGCUGUGACAAGUUGUUUUCGUUUAAGCAUUUGGGGUAUCUGCGAGUGUUGAAUGUGGAGGACUGUGAUGGUUUGGAUGAUACUGAUGUACAGCACAUAUGCGGAAUGAUCCUGCUGAAGCACUUGAGUCUGAAAGAGACACCACAAGUCACUAGGAUUCCUCCACAAAUCGGGAACCUACGACAUCUUGAGACUCUUGAGAUCGAGCUGACCCAAAUCAGUGUUCUCCCUCCACAGAUUGGGAAGCUGCAAAAUCUGGAGACACUGGAUGUAAGGCUGACACGAGUGAAAGAGCUGCCCAAGGAGCUCGUCCAGCUCCCCAAACUAGCAAAUCUGCAUUUUGGCCAUACUGGGGUGAGGCUACCUGCUGGAAGUGAUCGCUUCAAGUCAGUCAAGGUGUUGGGCACCAUUGAUUCGAGGGAAUGCUCGGUAAGCACCCUGGAGGAGAUUACUGGGAUGACUGGAUUGACUAAGGCUGAAGUCAUGUUGUACGGUGAGCCCGCCGACACGCCAAAAAAUGACAAUCUACUGUCUUGCAUGGGCAAGUGCACUAGUCUGCGGUCCCUAAUAGUUCACGGUGAUUUCAUUACGAGCGACGACCUUCCUGCGUCUCCCAACUUUCCUCUACUUGAAAAGCUAACGGUGACCGCAAGAUUUGAUAAAAUUCCCGGGUGGAUCGCACAUCUCAGCCGUCUUAAGAAGCUAGAAAUCAGGCUCUUUGAACAAGGACUAAACGAUCUCAAGAUACUUGGAGGUCUGCCCAGCCUCACUAGCCUUGCAAUCCAGCUGUUUGGUGACCCACGGAAACAAGUCACUAUAACUUCAGGUUUUGCCAGACUCGAGUUUUUCGCCUUCGACUGCUAUGCGCCAUGGGUAAAGUUUGAGCAGGGAGCCAUGCCAAGCCUGAGACAGAUCGAGCUGACACACUAUUCUGGCCCAGCAGGUAAAACUCCAGCAGGUAUCAUAUACCUUGAGAGCCUCCAGAAGGUCACCCUCAUCUACUCUUCACACUGUUCAAGUUGUGCUGGUGUCAUCGAGACAUUUGCUGUCAUGAGGAAGGAAGCUGCCAGCCAUGCUAAUCGGAUUGUGCUUUCUGUUAAUGGCGACGAUGAGAUUUUCCCAUCCAUCUCAAGUGUUGACGGAAAGAUUACUACAAACGAAAACGAAGAGCGUUAG